This is a long non-coding RNA of Coffea arabica (coffee), 610 nucleotides long. RefSeq lists it as uncharacterized. Lineage: Eukaryota; Viridiplantae; Streptophyta; Magnoliopsida; Gentianales; Rubiaceae. The record is from RefSeq and is a predicted model, not a curated record.
CCUCCUCAUCCCUUUCCGAGACAGUUAGCUCAAAUUGUAAAAAGGGUUCUCUCUGCAGAAUCUAAAACAGGCCCCAGAAAAAAUUAACCCAAAAAUGGUACCUCCCACUGCUCAAAUCGCUUUUUCAGCCUCCUGUAGCUAGUUCCUCUUCCACCUUUCGAACAAGGAUGCAAUUCUGAAGCAUGCUCAGCUCAUGAAAGAACUAGGAGAUAAUAAAGCCGCUAAUGGCUUGUGAAUAUAGAAACUUUUCCCGAAAAAGAGAGAGAGAUCACUUUUGCUCAUCGUUUUUGGGUUUCUUGAUCUCUAAUUUGAUAUUGUGCUUAUGAACAGAGAAGUUGCCGCUCCUUCCACUCAACCAAUCGGUCAGGUUCUCCUGCUGCGCGUGUGAUCACCACAGCUUUUCGAGUCGGGAUCGGUAUAGGUGUAGCAUUUUCAGAGUGUAAUAGGGUGUUUCACGAGUGAAAACCUUUAUUUAUUGUAUUACAUACUUUAUUAUGAUUCUAGCCGUGGCACUUUUUAGCCAAAGUUGACUGGGAAUAUAUUUGUUUUGACAGAAAUUUUAGAUAUGAUGGCGUGAUGGAAAUUAGAUAAAUUUUAAAAAUUAGUCUUA